Molecule: ribosomal RNA, 610 nt
Filed under: Staphylococcus aureus
Lineage: Bacteria; Bacillati; Bacillota; Bacilli; Caryophanales; Staphylococcaceae
Description: partial 23S ribosomal RNA
Rfam family: Bacterial large subunit ribosomal RNA
Source: RNAcentral
AGAUUAAGUUAUUAAGGGCGCACGGUGGAUGCCUUGGCACUAGAAGCCGAUGAAGGACGUUACUAACGACGAUAUGCUUUGGGGAGCUGUAAGUAAGCUUUGAUCCAGAGAUUUCCGAAUGGGGAAACCCAGCAUGAGUUAUGUCAUGUUAUCGAUAUGUGAAUACAUAGCAUAUCAGAAGGCACACCCGGAGAACUGAAACAUCUUAGUACCCGGAGGAAGAGAAAGAAAAUUCGAUUCCCUUAGUAGCGGCGAGCGAAACGGGAAGAGCCCAAACCAACAAGCUUGCUUGUUGGGGUUGUAGGACACUCUAUACGGAGUUACAAAGGACGACAUUAGACGAAUCAUCUGGAAAGAUGAAUCAAAGAAGGUAAUAAUCCUGUAGUCGAAAAUGUUGUCUCUCUUGAGUGGAUCCUGAGUACGACGGAGCACGUGAAAUUCCGUCGGAAUCUGGGAGGACCAUCUCCUAAGGCUAAAUACUCUCUAGUGACCGAUAGUGAACCAGUACCGUGAGGGAAAGGUGAAAAGCACCCCGGAAGGGGAGUGAAAUAGAACCUGAAACCGUGUGCUUACAAGUAGUCAGAGCCCGUUAAUGGGUGAUGGCGUGCCU